UCUGUCAUGGCGCACUGAGCAUCAAAAUACUUCCUGCAGUAAACAUCGGUGUGCCGACGACUAUAGAUAGUGUGAUCGGCCUCGUGAAAACAAUCAGCGAUCGUUGAAACCUCGACAUUUAACAUUACGCCGUUUCAUUAAGAUAGAUGAUAUCUGGCAAUUGACGACCCCUAUCACGUGACUGUCAUCGCAGUGUUGUCACAGUAUGUGACCAUGCCCUAUGUAGACAAGUCCGGCAGAACAUGUGGUUUUCUCAAUAUUGAGGAGAUCGAAAAUAGCGGCAGUUUUAUACGGAGAUACUUCCUACUCGAUCAAAACAAUGAACGUUUGCUGUACUACAUGGACAACCCCAAUAACCUGCCUGCAACAUGGAGGAAUACGGUGGGGGAAAUAUUCCUACAGUAUGUGUCCAAGGUAAGCGAUGGGAAGAAGCUUCGGCCUAAGGUCAGCAACUGUUUUGUCAUCAAUGUGGCUGGGCGCCGGUAUUUUAUGGAGGCAGAAGAUGAAGAUGACAAAACAGAAUGGAUAGAGGCCCUCAACAACGCCAGCAAGAUCACGGUCCCUCAGGAUGAUGCAGUCAAGAACCUGCGCACAACAGAAUGGCAGGCACGCGACCUAAGUCAGAAGUCCUAUGUGACCGAGAUCGCUGGCGGUGUGGUGUGUAAGAUGCCAGUGCAGACUGGCGAGGAUGUGUCUGGUGAGAGCAGUAGUGAGGAUGAGGAGUCCACGAGUCGGUCCUCCUCCUCCGGACGUGUCUCCCCUUCCAACUCGCUUUGUCGUACCCUCGGUGAGGCCCCUCGGACAACUUCCUCAAGGGGGAGCACGUCGCUGAAGGCAGGGUACGGGGUCAAGCAGGGGGCAGUUAGAAAAAGUUGGAAAAGACGUUUUUUCCUUCUCCAUGAAAAUGGAUUUAGCUAUUAUAGGAAUGAACAGGACAAAAGCCCGAUUCGUACAGUUCCAGUGUCUGAAAUUUUAGAAGCCAGACAAUCAUCAGGUGCUCAUGUAAACAGGGAUAAUUUAUUUGAACUCAUCACAUCAAAACGGAUAUUUUAUGUACAAUGUGAUACACCCGACGAAAUGCUCAGCUGGAUUGAUGCCAUUCGUUCGCUGCUCCGGAGUCGAAAGAUGGAAGAACGAAAGUCUAUGCAAGAUACAGAAACCCACCAAACACUAGAAGAUGACAUCUGUGGCAAGACUUACCCCAAGGAAGUGUGGCUGCGUGAUCGACUUGGUGGAGAAGUUGGUGGGCGUGGCAAGUUACGGAAGAAGAACUGGAUGUUCUGGUGACAGGAAGUGACGUCAGCUUCACCAUGGAGUCUUCACCUCUUGCAUUCAUCACAGGGUUUGGACCUGGUGGAUACUGUCAUAGUGCUUUUGGCCCACAGUGUAUACAAUAUUGGCUUGACCUUGAUAUGACUAAUACCAUCAUUACAUAUUUUUAGUGUUUGUAUAAUGAAAAGAGGACUAUGAAUUCUUGUUACAUUUAAACUGACAUAUCCUUUUCUUAAAUGUUCAAGGGACAAUGUUAUGUAUCACAACUACCACAAAUGGACUGUUUGUGUUGUGUCCAGUCUAGACUGACAGUAGGGCCAGGUGCCUGUGUCCAGUCUAGACUGACAGUAGGGCCAGGUGCCUGAGGCCAGUCUAGACUGAAUGUAGUGCCUGUGUUCAUUUUAGAAUGACAGUAGGGCCAGGUGCCUAUGUCCAGUCUAGACUGACAGUAGGGACAGGUGCCUGUGUCCAGUCUAGACUGACAGUAGGGCCAGGUGCCUGUGUCCAGUCUAGACUGACAGUAGGGCCAGGUGCCUUUGUCCAGUCUAGACUGAAUGUAGUGCCUGUGUCCAGUCUAGACUGACAGUAGGGCCAGGUGCCUGUGUCCAGUCUAGACUGACAGUAGGGCCAGGUGCCUGUGUCCAGUCUAGACUGACAAUAGGGCCAGGUGCCUGUGUCCAGUCUAGACUGACAGUAGGGCCAGGUGCCUGUGUCCAGUCUAGACUGACAGUAGGGCCAGGUGCCUGUGUCCAGUCUAGACUGACAGUAGGGCCAGGUGCCUGUGUCCAGUCUAGACUGACAGUAGGGCCAGGUGCCUGUGUCCAGUCUAGACUGACAGUAGGGCUAGGUGCCUGUGUCCAGUCUAGACUGACAGUAGGGCCAGGUGCCUGUGUCCAGUCUAGACUGAAUGUAGUGCCUGUGUUCAUUCUAGACUGACAGUAGGGCUAGGUGCCUGUGUCCAGUCUAGACUGACAGUAGGGACAGGUGCCUGUGUCCAGUCUAGACUGACAGUAGGGCCAGGUGCCUGUGUCCAGUCUAGACUAAAUGUAUUGCCUGUGUCCAGUCUAGACUGACAGUAGGGCUAGGUGCCUUUGUCCAGUCUAGACUGACAGUAGGGCCAGGUGCCUGUGUCCAGUCUAGACUGACAGUAGGGCCUGUGUCCAGUCUAGACUGAAUGUCGUGCCUGUGUCCAGUCUAGACUGACAGUAGGGCCAGGUGCCUGUGUCCAGUCUAGACUGAAUGUAGUGCCUGUGUCCAGUCUAGACUGACAGUCGGGCCUGGUUUCAUCUACAACAUAGUCAGGUCACAGGAAGUAGAUGGUGCUAGCAGCUAGCCUAACUUUCAACUAAAACAUAGGUCACAGGAAGUAGAUGGUGCUAGCAGCUAGCUUCACUUUCAACUAAAACAUAGGUCACAGGAAGUAGAUGGUGCCAGCAGCAAGCCUCACUAUCAUCUAAAAUAAAGAUUGAUCAACCCCCAGAUUCCUGAUUGAAGGAGAAAUCCCAGGGUUAGGCAGAUAUUGUUUGUGUCUGUAGCCUACUCUGUGCAAUUUUAUUACCAGCAUUUGUGAGACGAUAUACUGAAACUUAUAUACAGUAUCAUCAGUUGCUUAUGACCGUUCUCAGCUAAUAAUAGCCAAUAUGUAUACAAACAAAUCUGCUGAAAAUAUGUCAAGAGUUCUGACUCGUAGGCAAAAUUGUUUUUGACACACACUACCAUUUUUGUGGUGCCAUUCACAGAUCAUCAGCCUCUUGAUGGAAGAAGUGUAAUUAUCAGCAUUGUUAGUGGAUGAAUUAAUGUCCAUCAUAAAGCCUUUCAAUCUUGUUGGGGAAAGCAAAUACCUCCCUAUUGAAAUCACUGACACUGAUGACAUCAGCAUGUCCCACCGGGUACCCACUGUUGCCAUGCCUCCCCUUGUGACCUGACAAGCAGUCCACCAAUGCUGUGAUAAGGCAUGCAUAAAACUGUUGAGCUUCCAUUGCCCAAACAACAUUAAAUUUUGGUGUUUACUCAAACAUUGUAUUGACAUACCUACCAAAUAUUUGGCAGUAAGAAUGUUUGCACUGUAUUGGGCUUGUUUUGUGAAAGAAAAACAAUGUUUAUGUUAAAGUUGCAUACCAUCAACCGCGCCUAAGUGGAAAUAGGAGUGAAUAGAACCACAACCUUUAUUCUCGGGCUACGGCCUUCCAUUUGGCUCAACUGGCCACAGACCAAAAAAGCUUGUUCAGUGGCAGUGUCUGGCAUCCAGUAUCUGGGCAAUGUCCUAGUUUGCUGUUCCAGAUGAUAACCAAAACAAAUAUUGAUCAAGUCAGUUUGUACACAUAAACCACACAGGUUGUCAGGGUUUCUGGUAGUCAUGGAUCACUUGGAUCACUUGCAUGGCUGUGGCUUCAGUAGUGACAAGACAGGAUGACAAUCUGUAAACCAGUUGAGCACAGUUCUCAUUAUCAGACUUUCUACAUCCCGGCUUUGUAGUUUCUUCUUGUACCUCAUUCCCCUCAAUCCCCACUCCUCCCAUCCCCCACCCCGAACACCCACUCUCCUUCCAUCCCUCACCCUGAACACCCACACACCUUCCAUCCCCAACCCUGAACACCCACACUCCUUCCAUCCCCCACUCUGAACACCCACACUCCUUCCAUGAUCCAUUCCCCCACACUCCUCCCAUCCCCCACCCCGAACACCCACACUCCUUCCAUCCUUCACCCCGAACACCCACACUUCUCCCAUCCCCCACCCCGAACACCCACACUCCUUCCAUCCCUCACCCCGAACACCCAUGCUCCUUCCAUCCCCCACCCUGAACACCCACGCUCCUUCCAUCCCCCACCCCAAACACCAACACUCCUUCCAUCCCCCACCCUGAACACCCACACUCCUUCCAUGAUCCAUUCCCCCACCCCGAACACCCACGCUCCUUCCAUCCCCCUCCCCGACCACCCACACCCCAAACAUCCACACUCCUCCCAUCCCUCACCCUGAACACCCACACUCCUUCCAUUCCCCACCCUGAACACCCACACUCCUUCCAUGAUCCAUUCCCCCACCCUGAACACCCACACUCCUCCCAUUCCCCACCCCGAACACCCACACUCCUUCCAUGAUCCAUGCCCCACCCUGAAUACCCACACUCCUUCCAUCCCCAACCCCAAACACCAACGCCCAAUCUUUUGCUCACAGAAUAUUUGAGAUUGUUAUUCCAGAGCUAUAUUGUACAAACAAAAUCUUGCUAUUUUCCCACUGCAUGAUGGAUUACAGAGUUACAUCAGUAAUACUCACCACACAAUGAAUAUUGUCCUAUAAGUGGACAGAUGAUUGUUUGAAUGCUUGUUGUUGCCUCAUUGACAGCUUAUAUAUGAUUCAAGGGUAUUGACCACCUUUUCAGUCUUUUUGUCUUUCCCAUAAUAUUUUUGUUCCAAAAUUAUUCAUUUUGAACAAUCAUUUGUAAUGUGAUGUAGUGGCAUCAAUCCUUGCAUUUUCUUCAUUUUGUGAAGUUUUAUUCAGAUUUACACAAAUGAAGAAAAGGAAAUGCUGUUGCAAAUAAUGAAUUUUAAUGACAAUAUGGUGCAUGAAGCCAUUGCACAGAUUUUCUUCAUGGAAGAACUGGUUUGCAGUUCAUCUUUAAAAUGGUUCAGCUUCAUGAGAAUAGGGUUCCUAUUCAUUGUCUGUACUUCCCAAGACGUUCCUCCAUCACCAGUGAAGGGGGCACGGGUGGCCCAGUCGUCUAAGGCGCCGCGAUUCACUGUGCAGAGUUGCGUUCCUUGGCACACCAGAAACCUAUGAUUGUGGGUUCGAAUCCCAGA
RNAcentral lists this unclassified non-coding RNA (5075 nucleotides) under Haliotis rufescens (red abalone). RNAcentral's name for it is "pleckstrin homology domain-containing family A member 1-like, transcript variant X1". The record is from RNAcentral. Lineage: Eukaryota; Metazoa; Mollusca; Gastropoda; Lepetellida; Haliotidae.